RNAcentral lists this ribosomal RNA (467 nucleotides) under Acanthamoeba sp. DRB1. RNAcentral describes it as "SSU rRNA". It matches the Rfam family "Eukaryotic small subunit ribosomal RNA", at positions 740 to 1096 of the family's 1831-position model. RNAcentral also lists the same sequence under 3 other names. Lineage: Eukaryota; Discosea; Longamoebia; Acanthamoebidae. The record is from RNAcentral.
GGCCCAGAUCGUUUACCGUGAAAAAAUUAGAGUGUUCAAAGCAGGCAGAUCCAAUUUUCUGCCACCGAAUACAUUAGCAUGGGAUAAUGGAAUAGGACCCUGUCCUCCUAUUUUCAGUUGGUUUUGGCAGCGCGAGGACUAGGGUAAUGAUUAAUAGGGAUAGUUGGGGGCAUUAAUAUUUAAUUGUCAGAGGUGAAAUUCUUGGAUUUAUGAAAGAUUAACUUCUGCGAAAGCAUCUGCCAAGGAUGUUUUCAUUAAUCAAGAACGAAAGUUAGGGGAUCGAAGACGAUCAGAUACCGUCGUAGUCUUAACCAUAAACGAUGCCGACCAGCGAUUAGGAGACGUUGAAUACAAAACACCACCAUCGGCGCGGUCGUCCUUGGCGUCUGUCCCUUUCAACGGGGGCAGGCGCGAGGGCGGUUUAGCCCGGUGGCACCGGUGAAUGACUCCCUAGCAGCUUGUGAGAA